Molecule: long non-coding RNA, 1583 nt
Organism: Xenia sp. Carnegie-2017
Lineage: Eukaryota; Metazoa; Cnidaria; Anthozoa; Malacalcyonacea; Xeniidae
Exons: 6
Source: RefSeq, a predicted model, not a curated record
GUAUCAUCAAUAAGCACGACAACGUCAAAUGGUCAAAGAUCAAUUUCAUCGUUCAAAAUUUCGAAUUGAAUAGUUUAUAUCUUUGAAUCAUGCUAAACACGGGAAAACUUGCUGGAAAACAAUUUUUAUUAGUGGAGCAAGUCGUGGUAUUGGUAAACCUAUAGCUUUAAAGGCAGCACAGGAUGGAGCAAAUAUUGUCAUUGCUGCUAAAACAGCUGAGCCGCAUCCAAAGCUCCCAGGAACAAUUUACACAGCUGCUGAAGAAGAUACGACCUAAUGCACGGUGUCAAAAACAGAGGAACAUUUUUAUGCUCUCAAGCGUGUAUUCCAUAUCUGAAAUUGGCCAAGAACCCUCAUAUUUUAAACGUCAGUCCGCCAUUAAACAUGAAACCUCUUUGGUUUAAAGGACACGUAGCAUACACGAUCGCCAAAUAUGGUAUGUCCAUGUGUGUUCUUGGUAUGGCUGAAGAAUUUAAAGAUGAUGGUGUAGCAGUGAACGCUCUUUGGCCAAAAACAGGACUUGACCUAUCGAGACAGCAGCAAUGGAGAUGCUUGCUGGUGGAGAUGCUCUACAACAAUGUCGUAAUACAGACAUCAUGAGUGAUGCGGCUUAUGUUGUACUAACUAGAGACAGUAAAUCAAGGACUGGUGAAUUUCUUAUUGAUGAGGAUGUUUUACGUGAAAUGCUGUAUGCCAUCAUCACUGUUUACAAAUCUCCACGGACCACCAUAUGAAGCAUGUACACAAUGCGUACCUAUUUUGAAUUGCUGUUAUGCGAUCAUCACUGUUUACAAAUCUCCACGGACCACCAUAUGAAGCAUGUACAAAAUGCGUACCUAUUUUGAAUUGCUGUAUGCCACCAUUACUGUUUACAAAUCUCCACCGAGCACUAUAUGAAUCAUGUACACAAUGUGCACCUAUUUUGAAUUGCUGUAUCCCACCAUCACUGUUUACAGAUCUCCACGGACCACUAUAUGAAGCAUGUACACAAUGCGUACCUAUUUUGAAUUGCUGUAUGCCACCAUCACUGUUUUCAAAUCUCCACCGAACACCAUAUAAAGCAUCUACACAAUGCGUACCUAUUUUGAAUUGCUGUAUACCAACAUCACUGCUUACAAAUCUCCACGGAUCACCAUAUGAAGCAAAAGUUGUUUGCUCAAUUGGCGUUUAGUCAGUACGAAAACAGCCUGGAAAACUGUUGCCUCGUUUAAAUGUUUUCUUGCAGCUGUUUUUUCAUAUCUUUUACGCCCGAUCAUCCCAUUACCUUAUUUUUAAGAUUGAAAUGAUAUUACUCAGAGUUAUUUUAGAUAUUUAAAUUUUCCCAUUAUAGGACCAUUUUAAAAUUUUAGAAGAUAAAAGGAUUACAGUAUGAAAGACAUGCAUUACUUAUAUUGUCUUACAAUUUAGCGUAUGCAGUAUGGAGCUAUAAAAUUUGACAUUAAAACAUGAAAAUCCAGCAUUCACCUUAAAUUUUUGAAAACUUGAUUGCCCUUCAUUGACCUUUUAUAAGAGAGCAUACUUUUGAUAGUGUAAUUACAUAUAAGUGCACCUCUACAUAAUAAAUAAAUUAAACUCUGGACUCA